ACACCCACCCAGCAGGGAGGAGAUACCAUGAUCAAGAAGGUGAUUUUCCCAGAGCGAGGUUUAUUCACUGCGCUCCGGAUGUGCUGAUCUCAAAAGCAGGAAACUGACUGCACAGUUUGUGAUAGUGGGGACUGCCCCAU
RNAcentral lists this small nuclear RNA (140 nucleotides) under Peromyscus maniculatus bairdii (prairie deer mouse). Its description in RNAcentral is "U1 spliceosomal RNA (ENSPEMG00000001265.2)". It matches the Rfam family "U1 spliceosomal RNA". From Rfam's summary of the family: U1 is a small nuclear RNA (snRNA) component of the spliceosome (involved in pre-mRNA splicing). Its 5' end forms complementary base pairs with the 5' splice junction, thus defining the 5' donor site of an intron. There are significant differences in sequence and secondary structure between metazoan and yeast U1 snRNAs, the latter being much longer (568 nucleotides as compared to 164 nucleotides in human). The record is from RNAcentral. Lineage: Eukaryota; Metazoa; Chordata; Mammalia; Rodentia; Cricetidae.